GAAAAUGAGAGAGAGAGAGAAAGAGAGAGAGAAAGUUGUUGAAUUUCAUUUGAAAUUGGGUUAUUUAAUAAGAGAGAGAACGAUAACUUCACCUUGAGUUUUAGUUUUUUUUCCCCUCCCCCCUCUCUCUCUCUUCAAUCUAUGACACGCGAAUUUAAAACGACACCGGGCACCGUAUUAAUGUGUUUAAACGCUCUUUACGAGAUUACGUGCUCUUUACGAGGUUAUAAGUUGACCUGGUUAAUAUGAUGCCGGGCUAAACUGUUUCGCCACCGCAGAGAAGCCUGGGAAAUUACCGCGACACCUGCAUAAAGUUCACCCGCGGCAAAAUCGCUUUCCUCCCCGUCUAAAAAAAGAAUCGCACAGCCUAUUACGUAGACGAGAAGACUACAUGUAUAUAUAUAUAUAUAUAAUUUAUUCGAUCGUCGUUCGAAUAUUAUUCGUUAUUAUAUUCGUUAGGAAAAAAAACUCUUCCUUUUCAUAUGUAACGUUGAUAUUAUAUCGAUCGAAGCACGUAAUAUACAUGUAGAAAUUGUUUGACGCCGGUUACAAACGGCGGCGAAAGUAUAUACGCGUAUGAUCGCGAGAAAAUUCGUGCAAAGAAUAUCGUUAACGAAUAUCGUGUCGUUGGUGUAACAAUACUCCUUUCCCACGUUGGCACCGAGAAAACCGUGGAAAUGGUUGAGACGUACAGCGAAGGCCGCUUCUUUUCUCACUGCGUUCUGUCUACACACAGCGCUUCUAGUGCUCUAUAGUUGCGUAAUCGAUGCGCCGCAGCGAUGUAACGCAUGGAUGCACUACGUCCCAGAAAGAUUACGCAAAAAGCGAACGAGAUAUAAUUUAUAUUUGCCGUGCGUUGCUUGCCGCUACAUUUUUCUUUUUUUUCAGUUUUUGUUUUUUCAUUUUCAAAUCGUUGGCGAUUAAUUCGCGUUGGAAAGUUCUUUUUCAAAAUCGCAUUAGAUUCGCGAUCAAAUCAAAGGAAUAAAAUAUAUAAAUUUUGAUCAAGACGUAUUCGAUUACCGAACACUACACAUCAACCACCAACACACGUAAUCAAUUGUACACGAUAUUUUCACGUUUACGAUGAAAAGGAAUUACCGUGUUACGAAGCAUGAGAAAUCGAGUCUCUAGUAAUGCUCGAA
Molecule: long non-coding RNA, 1142 nt
Organism: Apis florea (little honeybee)
Lineage: Eukaryota; Metazoa; Arthropoda; Insecta; Hymenoptera; Apidae
Source: RefSeq, a predicted model, not a curated record